UUAAAGAAAGCGUAAUAGCUCACUGGUCGAGUCGGCCUGCGCGGAAGAUGUAACGGGGCUAAGUAGUAAACCGAAGCUGCGGCAAUGUGCUUUUGCACAUUGGGUAGGGGAGCGUUCUGUAAGCGGUUGAAGGUGUGUGGUAACGCAUGCUGGACGUAUCAGAAGUGCGAAUGCUGACAUGAGUAACGAUAAAGGGGGUGAAAAACCUCCUCGCCGGAAGACCAAGGGUUCCUGUCCAACGUUAAUCGGGGCAGGGUAAGUCGACCCCUAAGGCGAGGCCGAAAGGCGUAGUCGAUGGGAAACGGGUUAAUAUUCCCGUACUUCUUACAAUUGCGAUGGGGGGGACGGAGAAGGCUAGGUGGGCCUGGCGACGGUUGUCCAGGUUCAAGUGCGUAGGCUUAAGAGUUAGGUAAAUCCGGCUCUUUUUAAGGCUGAGACACGACGUCGAGCAUCUACGGAUGUGAA
RNAcentral lists this ribosomal RNA (465 nucleotides) under Vibrio parahaemolyticus. RNAcentral describes it as "partial 23S ribosomal RNA". It matches the Rfam family "Bacterial large subunit ribosomal RNA", at positions 1123 to 1589 of the family's 2925-position model. The record is from RNAcentral. Lineage: Bacteria; Pseudomonadati; Pseudomonadota; Gammaproteobacteria; Vibrionales; Vibrionaceae.